AUUGAACGCUGGCGGCAUGCCUUACACAUGCAAGUCGAACGGUAACAGGUUAAGCUGACGAGUGGCGAACGGGUGAGUAAUGCAUCGGAACGUGCCCGAUCGUGGGGGAUAACGCAGCGAAAGCUGCGCUAAUACCGCAUACGAUCUGAGGAUGAAAGCGGGGGACCGUAAGGCCUCGCGCGAUCGGAGCGGCCGAUGUCAGAUUAGGUAGUUGGGGGGGUAAAGGCCCACCAAGCCGACGAUCUGUAGCUGGUCUGAGAGGACGACCAGCCACACUGGGACUGAGACACGGCCCAGACUCCUACGGGAGGCAGCAGUGGGGAAUUUUGGACAAUGGGCGAAAGCCUGAUCCAGCAAUGCCGCGUGCAGGAAGAAGGCCUUCGGGUUGUAAACUGCUUUUGUACGGAGCGAAAAGGUCCUUUCUAAUACAAGGGGCUCAUGACGGUACCGUAAGAAUAAGCACCGGCUAACUACGUGCCAGCCGCCGCAGUAA
RNAcentral lists this ribosomal RNA (493 nucleotides) under uncultured bacterium. RNAcentral describes it as "partial 16S ribosomal RNA". It matches the Rfam family "Bacterial small subunit ribosomal RNA", at positions 29 to 523 of the family's 1533-position model. The record is from RNAcentral.